CGGGGCGUGGCGCAGUCUGGUUAGCGCGCGUGCUUUGGGAGCACGAGGUCCGGGGUUCGAAUCCCCGCGCCCCGACCA
RNAcentral lists this transfer RNA (78 nucleotides) under Chloroflexota bacterium. RNAcentral describes it as "tRNA-Pro". It matches the Rfam family "tRNA". From Rfam's summary of the family: Transfer RNA (tRNA) molecules are approximately 80 nucleotides in length. Their secondary structure includes four short double-helical elements and three loops (D, anti-codon, and T loops). Lineage: Bacteria; Bacillati; Chloroflexota. The record is from RNAcentral.